GACAAGUUAGAGCAGUGGUUGUCCCGGGGAGGGGAAGGUCCUGACAGCUUAGAGCACUGGUUCUCAAAGUGUGGUGCAGUGAAUCCUUUCAAAGGUCUACAAAUUCAAAAUGAGGUUUUUUUUUUCUAUUUAUGAUAAAUAUUAUGUAACCCAUAUAAACAAAAACUCUUUGGACAUAUUCUCAAUAGUUGUUAAUACCGUAAAGAUACUGAGAAAGAGUUUGAGAACCACUGAGGAACCAGAAGGGAUUUCUGAAGAGGCCAGAAUCAGGCAACCAGGGAUCCCCAUAGAAGUGAGGGAAGGGGACAUUCGGAGCAUGGGGUACAACCCGUACAAAGUAUGGAGAUGAGAAAUGGACAGUUAGGAGUAGAGCAGAACAAAGGGGCCAAUUUCACUCCACUGUGAACCAUAGGGGUGGGGGAAGGAACACAUAAUGACUUUGAAAAAAGGAGACUGAUGCCAGAUUGUGAAGACUUAAUUACACAAAUGAAUUCUUAUUUAAUUUCUGAGACAGUCAGGAGCCCUUAAGCUUCUAGAGCAGAAGAACAGCAGAGCCAGAUUUGUGCUUUAAGAAGGCUGUGUUUAAUGAGGAUGGAAGAAAGGAGAAUGAAGAGAUUUGUUAGGCAGGGAAAGCAAUUAUAAUCAAUAGUCAAGGUCAGAGGUGAUGAGUAAAUAGAAAGAAGAAAGAUUGUAGAGAGAGAAACUUCUCUUUCCUCAUCCAACCUCAACUCAAUUGAAACAAUAUCUACCAAAAACCCUUAGCCCAGUGCCGAGCACACAGUAGGUACAAUAUAAAUGUUCUUUUCCUGUCCCUUCCUCCAAGCUCCCAAACUUCCCUUUCUCAGAAGAGGACCUUACCUUCUACUUUCUGAGAAAAUUAAGACUAUUCAAUGGGAUCUCCUUUUCCCAUUAUUGUCAUCUCAAAUCUCUGGGCAAUUAUCUAUCUCCAACUCUCUCCUCCUUUGCCCUUUUCUCUGACAAAGAAGUUUUAACCAAAGUCAACCUCUGUGUGUGUCCUUGAUGCAUCCCUUGCCCCCAUUCUCCAACAGAUCACAUGCUUAAUUAUCUACCUUCUCUCACAAACUUCCAACCUCUUUAUCUGUUGGCUAUGGCCUUCAAACAUAUCGUAGUCUUCCUCAUCCUUAAAAAAACAAAAACAAAAACAAAAAACCUUUCGCUAGACCUUACCAUCCCUUGAAUUAUCCUCCUGUACCUCUUCUCCCUCCUUGACCAAAUAUCUUGAAAAAGUUAGUUACUUUUUCUGUAACUAACAGAAUUCUGUAGAACAAUUUGGAACCAUACCCAAAGGGCUAUAAAACUGCAUUCCUUUUAAUCCGGCAGUGUCUCUACAAAGUCUGUAUCCCAAAGAGAUCAUAAAAGAGGGGAAAGAACCCACAGGUGCAAAAAGAUUUGUAAUGGCCCUUUUUAUAGUGGUAAGGAACUGGAAACUGAUUGGAUGCCUAUCAAUUGGGAAAUGGCUGAAUAAGUUAUGGUCUAUGGAUGUUAUGGAAUAUUAUGGUUCUAUAAAAAAUGAGGAGCGGGCUGAUUUCAGAAAAACCUGGAAAGACUUAUAUGAACUGAUUCCGAGUGAAGUGAGCAAAACCAAGACAACAUUGUACACAAUAACAGGAAGAUUAUGUGAUGAUCGACUAGAAUAUACUUAGCUUUUCUCAGCAAUAUGGUUAUGAAAGACAAUUCCAGGAACUCUGGAUGGAAAAUUCUUUCCACAUCCAAGAGAGAACUAACUGUGGGAGAUUAACUGUGACUCAAAGCAUAGUCUUUUCACCUUUUUUUUGUUUGCUUUUUCUUUCUUGUGAGGUUUUUUUUUUUCCCUUUGGUCUGAUUUUUCUUUCACAACCUAACAAAUAUAGAACUAUGUUUAAAAGGAUUGCACAUGUUUAACUUAUCAGGUUGCUUAUUGUCUUGCGAGAGGGUAAGUAAGGGAGGGAGGGAGGAAAAUUUGAAACACACAAUCUUACAAAAAUUAAUGUUCAAAACUAUUUUUACAUGUAUUCAGAAAAAAAAAUACUAGCGAGGAAAACA
This is a long non-coding RNA of Antechinus flavipes (yellow-footed antechinus), 2043 nucleotides long. RefSeq lists it as uncharacterized. Lineage: Eukaryota; Metazoa; Chordata; Mammalia; Dasyuromorphia; Dasyuridae. The transcript has 2 exons. The record is from RefSeq and is a predicted model, not a curated record.